Molecule: non-coding RNA, 98 nt
Organism: Mycena leptocephala
Lineage: Eukaryota; Fungi; Basidiomycota; Agaricomycetes; Agaricales; Mycenaceae
Source: the annotation of a GenBank genome assembly
CAACCAAUGGCACAGUUGGUUAGCGCGCCUGCCGAUACUGGUCUCGGUAAAGUAAUCAGUGUGAGCAGGAGUCCCUCGUUCGAACCGAGGUUGGGUCA